This 669-nucleotide long non-coding RNA is filed under the name Helianthus annuus (common sunflower). Its description in RNAcentral is "hypothetical non coding rna". The record is from RNAcentral. Lineage: Eukaryota; Viridiplantae; Streptophyta; Magnoliopsida; Asterales; Asteraceae.
UCGGAACGGUGGAUGCGGUUGCGACUCGAAAUUGGAACCGUGAUGACUCGAGACAGUAAUGGUGGUUCAGUUGAUGAUUAUCAACGAUGGUGAUUCAUUGAUGGUGGUUCAGUGGUUCAUCGGAGAGAUGAUGUACGAAUGAUUGCGGAGAUGGUUCGGUGAAGACGGAGAUAAUGGUUGUUAACGGAGAUAAACUGUGAACGGUGAUGAUGAAUCAAGGCGACCGGAGGUGAAGAAGGUGAGGUGGUGAACGGAGAUGAAUGAUGGUUGACGGACGUGAAACGGACGUGAAAAGUGAAUAUGAUGAUGACGGUUAAAAUUAUGUGACAGUGAACCGGUGAUCGGAUUAAAAAGGAGAAGGUCGGAGUUGCAGGUAUUGACUAAGAAGAUGAUGAAGUCGAAACCGAACUCGUAGACACCGGUGGAUGAUGAUUGACGUGUGGUUGAGGUGAUCGGAUGUGCAGGUGGCGGAGUGCGGUGUUGGUGUUGCUCGGAGUUGAUUCACAACGGUGAUGGGAAAGUAAUAGUCGAGAUGGAGUGGUGUCGAAGGUGAGUCGGAACUGUGGAUGGAAACAGGAGGUAACAAUGGUGAUGAUGUAACCCGGUUGCGACUCGAGACAACUUGAGACCAAGAUGAGUCGAGAUCUUGAGAGCGGUUGCGAUACUUCC